UACGUAGGGGGCAAGCGUUGUCCGGAAUCAUUGGGCGUAAAGCGCACGUAGGCGGCCCUGUAAGUCCGUUGUGAAAGUCAAAGGCUCAACCUUUGAAUGCCGAUGGAUACUGCAGGGCUAGAGUCCGGAAGAGGCGAGUGGAAUUCCUGGUGUAGCGGUGGAAUGCGCAGAUAUCAGGAGGAACACCAAUGGCGAAGGCAGAUCUCUGGGCCGUAACUGACGCUGAGGAGCGAAAGCAUGGGGAGCGAACAGG
RNAcentral lists this ribosomal RNA (253 nucleotides) under uncultured bacterium. RNAcentral's name for it is "partial 16S ribosomal RNA". It matches the Rfam family "Bacterial small subunit ribosomal RNA", at positions 524 to 776 of the family's 1533-position model. The record is from RNAcentral.